RNAcentral lists this ribosomal RNA (254 nucleotides) under uncultured bacterium. RNAcentral's name for it is "partial 16S ribosomal RNA". It matches the Rfam family "Bacterial small subunit ribosomal RNA", at positions 524 to 776 of the family's 1533-position model. The record is from RNAcentral.
UACAGAGGUGGCAAGCGUUGUUCGGAAUUACUGGGCGUAAAGGGCGCGUAGGCGGUCUUCUAAGUCUUGUGUGAAAUCCCUCGGCUCAACUGAGGAACUGCACGGGGUACUGGAAGACUUGAGUUCGGGAGAGGGAAGCGGAAUUCCGGGUGUAGCGGUGAAAUGCAUAGAUAUCCGGAGGAACACCGGUGGCGAAGGCGGCUUCCUGGACCGAUUACUGACGCUGAGGCGCGAAAGCUAGGGGAGCAAACGGG